UGCUAGGGUUUCCAUUUUUGGAGAGACCAUGGGAAAGUGCAAUCUCCCUGACCACCGAGGAAGAGACUGUUCUCUGGGAGGCUACCAGUGUUACGAGUGUGAGGAGAGGAAGAGAGACACUCCACCCAGCUGUUUGAGCUGAAAUCCACCUUUCGAGAAGGCAGGUGCACCUCUGGAAAGGACCAGGCCGUGUGGAGGUGUAGGGACUGUGCGUUCUUACCCAUUUACUUCUUGCUGCUAAGAAGCUUUUCCAGUGGAUGGAAGUGCACUUAGGCAGAUGUAGCUGCCUUUUGUAACUUCAUGGAGAUGUCUGGCAGCUGCCUUGCCUCUUUUUCUUUUUUCCUUUCGCUGCCACGCUGCUGGUGAAUCAAGUGUUUGGUUGAAGGAGCUGUUUGGAUCUUGUGCCCAAAGAUCCCCUUUCCUGCUCUCACUCCACAAGACGGCAGCAGGAGGCCCCUGGCAUUUUGGGGGCACUGGCAUCUGGUCUGAAAAGAUCCCCUCUUCUCCCUCCCUCUGUCCGGCGAAACUUCCCCCUUCCUUGUCCUCCCCCUUUUUGGGAGAAGGAAUUCAGCACAGCCCUUUGAGACCUGAGAAAUAUCAGGGGUGGUCGUUUAUUUCAAGAACUGAAAGAGGGGUCCAUGUCAAAACAGGCAUAGGAUCUGCCAAGCUCAAAUUAAUGUGCAAGGAAUAAUAAAGCUGCUUACAGGAAGUGAAGUGACUAUCCCAUCAUACAACUAACUGUAAAGAAUGAUGGUAUAUAAACCUCUGGAAGGGACCCCAAGGGUCAUCCAGUCCAACCCGCUGCAUCGCAGGAACAUGCAGAAGUCCCUUACGGGGAACAAUCCUGCAACCUUUGAAGGCUACUUAGGAAGCAAACAUAGCCAUCCACUAUUCUUGACUGGAAACAGAGGAAGUUCUACUUACAUCCUCCCUGGGAGCAUUUCAACAGUCAGGGGGUGACCCGGACCCCUAAGCCUAACUCCAAGCCUCUCCCUAACCCCGACCCUAACAACCCAAACCCAAACCCCUAGACAUAAAACAGCAGAAUUACAACUUCUGACCUUUGUCAAAGGUAAAGGUAAAGGGACCCCUGACCAUUAGGUCCAGUCAUGGCCGACUCUGGGGUUGCACCACACAUCUCGCUUUAUUGGCCGGUGUACAGCUUCCAGGUCAUGUGGCAAAACAUGACUAAGUAGUUGGCCAUCAUACAACUAACCUGGAGGUAUGUUUCUCUGUCUCUUCUUUGUGUGGCACUUUACAACUCUUGGGAAUAUGCAGGCGUCCCUUAUGGAGAUUCCCCUGCAACCUUGGUGUUCACAGUACCAAAAGCUGUUAGCAUUUAACUGUUAGGUGUCACAGCCAAAAAUGAGGCGCCUUUGCCAUCAUACAACUAACUUAAAGGAAGGCUAUUUCUGGUUAUUUCUGAAGCACAUUCCAAAGAAUCAUAUGAUAGUGUAUAUAUCUAACUGGAAGGGACCCCAAGGGUCAUCCAGCCCAACCCACUGCAAGGCAGGAAUAUGCAGAAUAACCACUAACCUUGGUUGUGCUGUCAUGGUUGCCCUAUGAAAUGGCACUUUUAUGGCAAUUUAAACUGCAGCUGCAAGUUGCGCCAUGAAGCACCCCUUGCCAUCCCCUUUUGCUGACUGGGAGCGGAGGAGGUGCUGCUUACAGUCUCCCCAGGAGCUUUUCAACAGUCAGGAGGAGGCCUGAAGCCUUCGGGGGGGAUUGAACAUCUGCUGAGAACAUUUAUGCCUCCAGAAAAGGAAAAAACAAUGGUCCUGCUCUAAGGGAAUGCUCAUGAGUGUAUAAGUGCUGCUCUUUAAAACACCUCUCUUAACAUUACAAACUGCUGCAAAUUUCCAAAACGCAUACAUCCGUGCCAGUGUUUGUCAACGUAAAUGAUUCAACUGGCCCUUGGUUUUGGCCCCCGUUGCAGGGGCUCAGCCCACUUAGUCUCCUGCCAUUGGGGCUCCCAGCCUAGGUGCAUGGCGGGGGAGAGGCUUAAAUCUUUGCAGUUGAUUUUUAAGGACUGACACACAAACACACACCCCAAAACUAUAUUAAGACAUUACUAAAUGCUAAGGUUUCCAUUUUUGGAGAGACCGUGGGAAAGUGCCAUCUCCCUGACCAUCGAGGAAUAGAGACUGUUCUCUGGGAGGUUGCCAGGGUUACGGGUGUGAGGAGAGGAAGAAAGACUUUUCACCCAGCUGUUUGAGCUGAAAUCCCUUUGGAGAAGGCAGGCUGCACCUCUGGAAAGGACCAGGCCGUGUGGAGGUGUAGGGACUGUGCGGUCUUACCGAUUUAGAGAGAUAGCUAGGUAUUGCCCACCUUUCCCAUUACUUCUUGCUGCUAAGAAGCUUUUCCAGUGGAUGGAAGUGGACUUAGGCAGAUGUAGCAUUCGACAUAAAGGAAUAAAGCAGAGCCCAUGCAGGCAACCCAUCUUUUUCCACUGCAGCCUUGUCUCUUUUUCUUCUCUUUCCUUUCACUGCCACGCUGCUGGGCGAAUCAGGUGUUUGGUUAAAGGAGCUGUUUGGGACUUGUCUCAAAAGAUCCCCUUUCCGCCUCUCACCCCACAUGGCAGCAGCAGGAGGGCACCUCUUCUCCCUCCAUCAGGCAAAACUUCCCCCUUCCUUCUCCUCCCCCUUCUUCUGAGCAAGAAUUCAGCACGCCCCAUAGAGACCUAAGAAAUAACGGGGGGGGGGGGGGGCGACUGAAUAGGGGUCCGUGUAAAAACAGGCACAGGAUCUGCAAGCUCCAAUUAACGUGCAAGGAAUAAUAAGGGAGCUCACAGGAAGUGAGGCUACUUUCCCAUCAUACAACUAACUUUGAGGAACACUAUUUCUCUUUCAUCUUUCUGAAGCCCUUUCCAAAGAAUAACCAUGGUAUGUAAACCUCUGGAAAGGACCACAAGGGUCAUCCAGUCCAACCCGCUGCAUCGCAGGAACAUGCAGGAGUCCCUUAUGGGGGAAAAUCCUAACAUCUUGGUUGUGCAGCUAAUGUUCCUCUCUUAAACGGCACUUUGAAGGCUACUUCAGGGAUCCCCACCUCUCCUGCAGCUGCAAGUUCAGCCAGGAAGCAAACAUGGCCAUCCACUAUUCUUGACUGGAAACAGAGGAAGUGCUGCUUACAUCCUCCCUGGGAGCAUUAAGGUAAAGGGACCCCUGACCAUUAGGUCCAGUCACGGACGACUCUGGGGUUGCAGCGCUCAUCUCGCUUUACUGCCCGACAGAGCCGGCGUACAGCAUGACUAAGCCGCUUCUGGCGAACCAGAACAGCGCACGGAAAUGCCGUUUACCAUCCCGCCGGAGCGGUACCCAUUUAUCUACUUGUACUUCGAACUGCUAGGUUGGCAGCAGCAAGGACCCUGCAAAGGGAGCUCACUCCGUCGCGGGGAUUCGAACCGCCAACCUUCUGAUUGCCAAGUCCUAGGCUCGGUGGUUUAACCCACAGCGACACCUGCAUCUCAUAACUUAAAGGAAUGCUAUUUCUGUUUCAUCUUUCUAAAGCACAUUCCAAAGAAUCAUAUGAUGCUGCAUUUAUAUCUAUAUCUGGAAGGGACCUCAUCGGUCAUCCAGCCCAACCCACUGCAAGGCAGGAAUAUGCAGGAGAAUAACCACUAACCUUGGUUGUGCUGUCAGUGUUGCCGGAUUAAAUGGCACUUUCAAGGCAAUUUAAACUGCAGCUUCAAGUUGCGCCAUGAAGCACCCCUUGCCAUCCCCUUUUGCUGACUGGGAGCGGAGGAGGUGCUGCUUACAGUCUCCCCAGGAGCAUUUCAACAGUCAGGAGGAGGCCUGAAGCCUUCGGGGGGAUUGUACAUCUGCUAAGAACAUUUAUGCCUCCAGAAAAGGAAAAAACAAUGGUCCUGCUCUAAGGGAAUGCUCAUGAGUGUAUAAGUGCUGCUCUUUAAAACACACCUCUUAACGUUACAAACUGCUGCAAAUUUACAAGACGCAUACAAAUACGUGCCAGUAUUUGUCAAUGUAAAUGAUUCAAUUGGCUUUUGGCUUUGGCCCCUGUUGCAGGGCUCAGCCCACUUAGUCUUGUGCCAUUGGGGCUCCCAGCCUAGGUGCAUGGCAGGGGACAGUCUUAAAUGUUUGCAGUUGAUUUUUAAGGACUGACACACACAAACACACACCCCAAAACUGUAUUAAGACAUUACUAAAUGCUAAGGUUUCCAUUUUUGGAGAGACCGUGGGAAAGUGCCAUCUCCCUGACCAUCGAGGAAUAGAGACUGAUCUCUGGGAGGUUGCCAGGGUUACUGGUGUGAGGAGAGGAAGAGAGACACUUCACUCAGCUGUUUGAGCUGAAAUCCACCUUUCGAGAAGGCAGGCUGCACCUCUGGAAAGGACCAGGCCUUGUGGAGGUGUAGGGACUGUGUGGUCUUACCGAUUUAGAGAGAUAGCUAGGUAUUGCCCACUGUUCCCUUUACUCCUUGCUGCUAAGAAUCUUUUCCGGUGGAUGGAAGUGGACUUAGGCAGAUGUAGCAUUCGACAUAAAGGAAUAAAGCAGAGCCCAUGCAGGCAACCCAUCUUUUUCCACUGCAGCCUUGCCUCUUUUUCUUCUCUUUCCUUUCGCUGCCACGCUGCUGGGCGAAUCAGGUGUUUGGUUAAAGGAGCCGUUUGGAUCUCGUCUCAAAAGAUCCCCUUUCCCCCUCUCGCCACUCUUCUCCCUCCCUCUGUCAAGCAAAACGUCCCCCUUCCUUCUCCUUCCACUUUUUGGGAGAAGGAAUUCAGCACAGCUCAGAGACCUGAGAAAUAACGGGGGGGGGGGGGCAGAUUUUUUCUAGAACCGAAAGAGGGGUCCAUGUAAAAACAGGCAGAGGAUCCGCCAAGCUCAAACUAAAGUGAAGGAAUAAUAAGGGAGCUCACAGAAAGCGAGGCGACUUUCCUG
This 4890-nucleotide long non-coding RNA is filed under the name Podarcis lilfordi (Lilford's wall lizard). The record is from RNAcentral. Lineage: Eukaryota; Metazoa; Chordata; Lepidosauria; Squamata; Lacertidae.